Molecule: ribosomal RNA, 253 nt
Filed under: uncultured bacterium
Lineage: Bacteria
Description: partial 16S ribosomal RNA
Rfam family: Bacterial small subunit ribosomal RNA
Source: RNAcentral
UACGUAGGGACCAAGCGUUGUUCGGAUUUACUGGGCGUAAAGGGCGCGUAGGCGGCGUGUUAAGUCACUUGUGAAAUCUCUAAGCUUAACUUAGAACGGUCAAGUGAUACUGAUGUGCUAGAGUGCAGAAGAGGCAACCGGAAUUCUUGGUGUAGCGGUGAAAUGCGUAGAUAUCAAGAGGAACACCUGAGGUGAAGGCGGGUUGCUGGGCUGACACUGACGCUGAGGCGCGAAAGCUAGGGUAGCAAACGGG